Molecule: ribosomal RNA, 460 nt
Filed under: uncultured Sphingobacteriales bacterium
Lineage: Bacteria; Pseudomonadati; Bacteroidota; Sphingobacteriia; Sphingobacteriales
Description: bacterial SSU rRNA
Rfam family: Bacterial small subunit ribosomal RNA
Source: RNAcentral
GACGGGGCCGCACAAGCGGAGAACAUGUGUUAAUCGAUGAUAUGCGAGGAACCUUACCUGGGCUUAAAUGUAGAGUGCAUUUUUAGAGAUAGAAUUCCCUUCGGGGCUUUCUGCAAGGUGCUGCAUGGUUGUCGUCAGCUCGUGCCGUGAGGUGUCGGGUUAAGUCCCAUAACGAGCGCAACCCUUAUCGUUAGUUGCCAUCUGGUAAUGCAGGGGACUCUAGCGAAACUGCCACCGUAAGGUGAGAGGAAGUGGGGAUGACGUCAAAUCAGCACGGCCCUUAUGUCCAGGGCUACACACGUGUUACAAUGGUCGGUACAGAGGGCAGCUACCUGGUGACAGGAUGCUAAUCUCGAAAACCGGUCUCAGUUGGAUCGAAGUCUGCAACUCGACUUCGUGAAGCUGGAUUCGCUAGUAAUCGCGCAUCAGCUAUGGCGCGGUGAAUACGUUCCCGGGCCUU